CCCUGUGGCUCAGUUGGUAGAGCAUGGUGUUUGCAACGCCAGCAUGGUGUGCGCAAUGCCAGGGUUGUGGGUUCGAUUCCCACAGGGG
RNAcentral lists this transfer RNA (88 nucleotides) under Salmo salar (Atlantic salmon). It matches the Rfam family "tRNA". From Rfam's summary of the family: Transfer RNA (tRNA) molecules are approximately 80 nucleotides in length. Lineage: Eukaryota; Metazoa; Chordata; Actinopteri; Salmoniformes; Salmonidae. The record is from Rfam by way of RNAcentral.